UUUUUUUUGCCUCCUCUGGAAUCAUCCCAAGUCAGUCAUGCAAGUGCGAAGUAUACUAUGGUUUGAGAGAUUAGCUACCUCCACUCUAUAUGUGUUCCUAGACACCAAGCCACUGAUUGAUUUGUUCAAGGAAGAGAUGUCUAUGCUUGGGAUCUAAUCCAUGGACUUGCGUAAAGACUUCAAAAUCCUUGAUGAUGGAUCCUAACCAGAACUCGGUAGUUGUCGGAGUUCGGGUUCCGGCAAAACCCUAAAGGUUCGAACACUGGGGUGCGCACGAAGAUCUCUCCCUUCCCUAGCUCACCCACUCACCACGAUCCCAAGGCUCAGCACACCAAACUCAAAGAACAAGGGACACAGGGUUUAUACUGGUUCGGGCCACCGAUGUGGUGUAAUACCCUACUCCAAUGUGGUGUGGUGGAUUGCCUCGUUGCCUAAGGAUGAACAAGUACAAGGGAAGAACAGCCUCCUGCGGAGAGGUGUUCUUGGGCUCGAUGAGCUUGUGUGGUUGAGGAUGAUCUGAAUGAUCCGUCCAAGAUCAGUUCCCAGAUCCAUUCCAUGAUCAGUUGCCCCCUACUGUGGUGGCUAGUCCUAUUUAUAGAGGCCCUGGUCCUCUUCCCAAAUGUAGGCGGGAAGGGAUCCGACAAUGGCCAAAUUUGAAGAGGGGACAACCAGUACAAGUUAUCCUGACUAAAGGUGGUCUUCGCCUGCCAAAGGCUCUGGUGGUGACGCUGUCCUGGGCUCCACGGUGACCUCCGUCCCGCCGUCCUGCUGGUCUUGGCCUUGUUGCACCGGUAUGGAAACAUUUGCCUGAUGCCUCGGAACUCCUCGCAUGCGCCUGCCUCUUUAGCACCAAAGAGGAAACAAGUACACUGCGCGCGCAGGCGCCCGCCUUGCCUUGGUCAUCAUGGCUUGCAUCAUAGGAACCUCACGAGGUGCCCCUUACCUUGAUCUCUCCGCCCCUCGCGAGCCAGCCUUGUGAGGCCGCCCCUGAGGAGGUCUUGUGUCUUCCGCCUCGCGAGGCUUGGCCCCUCGCGAGGGUCUUGAGCGUUUGCUGAUGAAGUUGGGCCGUACAGGGCCGCUGGUGGAGCUACGCUGUGGGCCCCAGGCAGGCAAGUCUGGGGACCCCCGUUCCCAGGACGCCGACAGUAGCUCCCAGUCCCAAGGUGCACUCGGACUUGGCUUCGAGGUGAAGCCAAGGGGCAAGUGCAGAGGGCCACGGGCCCCAACAGCCUGCAGCCUCAGUUGACGCGUGGCGAUUGAUGGGACGUGGGCGUCUUCGCUUCCCCAUGCUGCCUUGGCAACUACCCAAUUUGACGAGUCCCUGGUGCAUGCAGAGAAAACCAUCAUUACCUGUGAUCGUGGGGGUCGCCGGUUGGCCUUCUCCUGCUAUAAAUGAGGAAGGGGGCGGAGCCCCGGUCGCCCAUCUCUUCCUGCUCCGCUCGCUUCUUCUUCCUUGCUUCAUUUCUAGCAGCGACACCCAUGGCGCCGAUACGGAGAUUCUUGGCCGCAAAGAAAGGAAAGGCCCCCCGCGACGAGCCGGGGCUGCUUCCGCCGAAGAACAGGCUGGCCUGCCGUCGCGAUGUAUUCGUGAGGUCGGAGGUGUCGAGGCCUUGGAAUGAGCGGCCUCCCCUCGGGUAUCCACUGCGUUUGUACGCCCAAGCCGAGGGCUCCGGAGGAAGUGGUGGCUCAGUCUCACUAGUAGUUCCACGUGGAAUUCAACGUUUAGCUUGUUACCUCAGCUACUAUCUUGUGCCCUCGACAGGGUCUUGUAGAUAGUCAGGCUUCUCAGCCUUUUUCAUUUGUAGUUGUCUGUACUCAGACAAGUUAAGUUUCCGCAUGUGCUUAUUGCUUGUAUGACUUGAAUGCUGGGUCAUCAGACCCAUGUUUGUAAUAUCUGGCUCCUCGGAUCCUAAUGAAUAAAUACUUUGAGUCGUAGAGUUUUGUUGUGAUGCCAUGUUGUAUUUGCACAUAUCGAGCAUAUUGUGUGUAUGUUAUUGAAAUUCUUGGUAUGUGUGGGAUCCGACAACCUAGUUGUUUAUUCUUGGUAGCCUCUCUUACCGGGAAAUGUCUCCUAGUGCUUCCACUGAGCCAUGGUAGCUUGUACUGCUCAGGAACACUUAGGCUGGCCAGCAUGUUGUUCCUUUAAGUCCUUGUAGCAUGCUACGACUUGGGUUCAUACGUUGUUGAUCGACACGUUCAUUACUGGGUCAUGUAUGCCUGUCCAUGUAAGUUAGCACCACCUUGGGUUUACGACUAGUCAUGUCGGCCCGGGUUCUCUGUCAUAUGGAUGCUAGCGACACUAUCAUAUACGUGAGCCAAAAGGCGCAAACGGUCCCGGGCCAGGUAAGGUGGCACCUAUGGGAAUACCGUGCGUGAGGCUGCAAAGUGAUAUCAUGUGUGACAUGCCAGAUCGGUGCGACUUAGGAUCGGGGUCCUGACAGCGGAGGGCAGGGCUGCGGCGCGAGAUAGGGAGAGAAAGUGAAAACCAGGUCAUUUUCACUCGCAAGGGGGUAACGAAGCUUACCUAUUCAUUGUUAGUGCUGGCUUAGGUGACGUUGCCAAUGCCAGCACUAGGUUUUUAAAAUAGGGUUGGCCACAUAUUCGUGCAUGGCGUUUUGAGCGACGACAUGCAUAAUAUAGAUAUUUAAAGUGACACAAAUUCUUCUCGUGGUUCAGAGUACAUAAAUAUGGUACAGUUAGUUUAGGGUACACAAAUUCUUUUCGUGGUUCAGAGUACACAAAUGAAUCAUGAAGUAUGACAUCAUUUGACAACCCUCUCAACGAUGGUUUGGGUCUUCUUAAUGUUGCUUGAAUACUUCCGCCCGUUCUAUGAGUCUUUCUCAGGAAGGGACGUCCUGUCGCAGGCAAGGUAGUUCUUCUCCUUCUAGUGGUGUAGUCAUGCUCUUCAUACAUCUCAUCUUCUAUUGGGUCCACGCCAAAUUGAUCAUGGUCAUACUCAUUGGCGACUCCGUCCAUCCUGACGAUGCUCCUUUUGCCUGUCCGUACGACAAGAUGACUCGGCUUUGAAGGGUUAGUUAAAUAGAAGCAUUGUGCAACGUCCUUAGCGAAUACCCCAGGCUCAUAUUUGGCAGUGAUUCCUUUCACUCUUUUUGCACCAGCAGGUUGUGCUUCGGGCAAAGACAUGGUAAUGAAACCACGUUCUUCAUGCUCGACGUUCUUCGCCCAUCUGACCCUGAACAAUGGCACCGUGUAAUCUUCUCUGUACUCAAGUUCCCAUAUCUCUUCGAUCUUGCCAUACUAUCUAUUACUCUCAUUCUUGGUCAACUGCAGCAUCGUCACACCUGAGUUCUGGUAAUAAUAGUUUUUGUCCUUCGCCUCAGUACAGAAUGUGUAUCCAUUUAUAUCAUAUGAUUGGUGUGUGGCGACAGUGCAAGCGGGGCCUACAUGCAAUAAAUUUUCAAGCGAUACAUCUUUCCUGUUGUAUUUCUUAAGAAAGGAUUUGGUCAAACAUUUUGCUUAGUCAGACUUCAGACAAGUUUUAUAUGCAGAGUAAAAGGAUAAUCCCUCCGUACCAGUGCAUUGCCUGAUAUAUUAACUCAAGUACUAGGCAUGAACAAACGGGGCUCAAUUUUGUGCUCAUCCUGGUGUAGUACUCCUAUUAGUACUAGGCAAAGGAGUUGACAGGUGACCUUGGGUAGAGGCAACCGAGGGAAGUGAACCAUGCUCAGCACGGUAGGUAACGUUUUCUAGUUACUAAAGCAUCCCUCCAUUGUUCACCGAUAGUCAUUAUGGACCGGGGACAUGAGGGGAAUUUCCUAGUACUGGAAUUCUGGCCGCCAGAUAAUUCAACUCGAAACGUGGAGGCUCGACUGGUUGGGGUUGGCUAAUGUGCGUACCACACACGCCAACAGAAGGACACGUGCCCGGGUUUUUUUUAGGAUCAACACGAGUCAGGGUCUGGCUGGUACACCGUUGGGUCCUACCAUUCGAGAAUACAAAAGGAAUCUUUUACAUUGCCGAACGAAUCUAUGUGUAUUACAAUGCCCGUAUUUUCAUUGUAAAUAGUAAUCUCAACAUGGUAAUUGAUUUAUGACGAGUUCUUGAAUUAUAGUGAGUUUGUGAUAUAGAGAUCUCAACAUGGAUUUCACAUUUCAUGGUAUCCCUAGUAAGUUUUUCAUUGCAAAUUCAAAUUUAAAAGAUGAACGGUAUGGUGGUGAGAAAACUUUUUAUGUAUCAAGCAUAUGACCACACACACACACACAAACACACACACACACACGAAUACAACAACAAUCCAGUAAGUAUAGUGCAUCUAUUUUUGCAAACCAUGCAUGUAUGACACGAAUUCAAAAAUACUCCUAUUGUUACUAAAUAUUUUUCUUUCAGAGAUUUCAACAAGUGACUACAUACGGAGCAAAAUGAGUGAAUCUACACUCUAAAAUAUGUCUAUAUACAUCUGUAUGUGGCAGUCCAUUUGACAUCUCUAAAAAUACUAAUAUUUAGGAAUGAAGGGAGUAAAAUGUAAGACAUGCAUGGUGCUCAAUUCAAUAUUUAAAAUAGACAGGAAACUGAAACAUGAAUAUUAAGUCUAGUACUACAUACAUGCAAAUGUUGUGUUUAGGCGGAGCUAUGUAGAUUGUCGGGGGUUAACCCCUCGACCUGAGAUAAAAUUGGGAAGCUCUAUUUAGGAUUGUUUAGAUUGUAUUAUUUGAACAUUAUAUUUGUCCCCACCCUCCCAAACACCGAUUGGUUGUGCACCCCCCUCCCCGGGAGAAUAUCGUGUGCCCCCACACCUUACACUACUGCAUGAUGCUACUAACGCGACACUACGAUCAGAGACCCUUCGACAUAACUAUGUGCGAUUCCAUAAUCGCAAACGGUGCUGUAAAAAACCAUCAAAAAAGGUGCAAAACUUUUGCGAUGGCGGAGCCAUCAAACACGGUUCAGAUUUUAGUUGCGUGUGCGAUGCAUGGCAUAAGAUUCAGUUCAAUAACUGUUUUGCGACGAGGAGGAACAAAAGAAACGGGCAGCCAGAUGGAGGUGUUUGCGAUAUAUACAUCAUAUGGUUCACUCAGAUGAACUAUUUGUGAUUAGGCAACACAAAAGAAACGGUCAGCCAGAUGAAGGUGUGUGCGACAUACAGCAUGCGGUUCACUCGGAUGAACUGUUUGCGUUGAGACAUGAGAACAGAAAUGGUUCAACUUAACAAGAUGUGUGUGAUACGCGGCAAACAGGUCUAUACUCAGAAAUGUGUGUGAAGACCGAUAAUAACACACAUGGUUGUUGCUAAUAAGACGUGUGUGUUGUGCGAUGGGAUUCCAUACAGAACAACAACAUAUAUAUACACACUUAUAAGGACAUGCUUGCAUAACCAAAUUAAACAUCCACUUACAUAGGUGGCUACUACAACCAUGGCAUUUGCACACACCAAAGUAAACUAUUACAUGCAUAAUUACAUAGGUGGCUACUACACACAUGACAUUUCCACACACCAAUAAAGUAUACUAUAUAUUACAUGCAUGAUUAACUAGCAUAAACGAUCAUCUGAUCAUCAUCUACUUCUUGUGACACUUGCUCUUCUUGUGGCUCGAUCCGGGCUCGUCGAUUUGGGUAACGAGGCACUUCCUCAUGUCAAUGAUCCACCUGUGCAUCUCGUAGCAUGUGUACACGCUCUUGGUCGCGAACCUAAGGUGAGGUUCAUCCAGUUGCAGCAUCCGGGCCCUGUGCCAAGAUAGGGGACUUGUUCUCUGGGCAUCCUGCUUCAUCUUUUCGUAGUAGAGGUCGAUGAUGGCCGAGGAGAGUUCGACCAGCAAGUCCUUUUUCGUGCUGCCCUAGACCCUGUAGUUGUCACGGAUUUUGACAAGGUUCUUGCAGUCCAAGCCCGUAACACUGAGCGCUUUUACAUCGUCGGUGGUUUCCAUCAUGGCGAACUGUAGUCGGUGUUGUUGACAAACCUGAUGAAACGGUCGCUAGGCUCUGUGGCCAUGCAGUAGUGGUACAUGAGGACAUGAUGGCGCACGCACAACUAGGCUACGGCAACCAUAUGAUCUAUGCCGGGACGACCAGCGGUGUACUGGAGGUCGAUGCCGACCACCUUGUACUUGUCUCCAGCAAGCAACUGCUCAACGCAGUUGAUGUAGUCGUCCACCAUGGCCGGGUCGAUGGUUUACACCACCGAGAGAUCCGUCUUCCUUGCGUGGGUCUCCACUCUAUGCUCGCCGAACUCCAUUGGAGCGCCGCUGGACAUCCCCUCUCUAUGUGUCGUCGUGGGUGUGCUUGUUGUGUUGUGGGGCGCGAUCGAACCCCCAAAAUCCCAAUGCUUAUCGGCCUGCUAUAAAAACCCUCUUGCCGGCGAGUCCUGCGUCGCAUUUUCCCCUCCCUCCCUAUAGCUUAUCUCGUGUGCUUCUCCCACAAUCACCAAUGGCACCGGUCCGUCGCCGUCAUUAGAGGACAGCUCCAGCUGGGAGGCUACACCGCGGGGAUGGCGUAGGUCCCGGCAUAGUGUAGUGCGCGUGGCGUCCCUGUUGGGUCUGCGCGGAACACCCACCACAUGCCGGCCGCCGUUGCCACCACACAACCGUCAAAAGCCAGGGCCAUCUCCCGCUCCGCUGCCGCGGCCCAAAGGCGGGAGGUGGCCGUCAUGGCCGCCACCCCACUGCCGGCCACUGUAACAUCCCAAAUUUUCAAUUUGGAAUGUUAUACAUUAGAUCAUCAUUGCACAUCAUAUUUUAUUGCAUUUUGGAUUGAUCCUAGAAACUCUACACAACUCAAGGACCCACGAAGAGAGUUGGGGAUUUCGUUAUUUUCAUAUUUGAGUUUUCUCAAAUUUUUAAAAGAGGAUCGUUUGAUUUUAAUUAUUUUCUCUUCAAAUAUUUCUUUUAUAAAAAUAAAAGAGAGGGGAUAAAAUGACUUUCCCAAAAUAAAGAAAUACUGGAGAUUUAAUAUUAAAAUAAAAUAAGAAUUUUAUACGGAGUUUUAUCGCUAUUUUAUUUGAAUUAGGAAAAAUAUGUGUUUUUUAAAAUUGCAUUAGGGUCCUGAAUAAAUGUUCAUGUUGUCCGUUAGAUUUUUAGAGGACGGGGAAAAUUUAUUUCAUGAUUUUUGGAGUCCGUUUAGUAUUUCUAUUCUUCGUUUUUCUGCGCGGAAUUAAUUUAAAUAUAAAACGCCACCGACCUUACCGGUUCGUCUCUGCCUGGGACACUGACCCGACCAGGCCUUUAAAGCCUGAGGCGCCGAGCCGUGCCAGCCCAAGCCGCCGCCGCCGAACCCUGGCCCCGCCCCACCGCCAGUUCCGCGCCGCCGCCGAUCCGNNNNNNNNNNNNNNNNNNNNNNNNNNNNNNNNNNNNNNNNNNNNNNNNNNNNNNNNNNNNNNNNNNNNNNNNNNNNNNNNNNNNNNNNNNNNNNNNNNNNNNNNNNNNNNNNNNNNNNNNNNNNNNNNNNNNNNNNNNNNNNNNNNNNNNNNNNNNNNNNNNNNNNNNNNNNNNNNNNNNNNNNNNNNNNNNNNNNNNNNNNNNNNNNNNNNNNNNNNNNNNNNNNNNNNNNNNNNNNNNNNNNNNNNNNNNNNNNNNNNNNNNNNNNNNNNNNNNNNNNNNNNNNNNNNNNNNNNNNNNNNNNNNNNNNNNNNNNNNNNNNNNNNNNNNNNNNNNNNNNNNNNNNNNNNNNNNNNNNNNNNNNNNNNNNNNNNNNNNNNNNNNNNNNNNNNNNNNNNNNNNNNNNNNNNNNNNNNNNNNNNNNNNNNNNNNNNNNNNNNNNNNNNNNNNNNNNNNNNNNNNNNNNNNNNNNNNNNNNNNNNNNNNNNNNNNNNNNNNNNNNNNNNNNNNNNNNNNCGCCGCCGCCGGAGACCACCACCUCGCCCUCCGGACCACCGCCGGAGGUAGCCGCCGCCGCCUCGCGGUUCGUCGGUUUUCUCAAAAAACCGUUCUUUUUUUUGUAAACCCUAGAUCUGUUUUUUUCCAGAUCUGAUUCGAAUUUUUUUUCGUUUAGUUAACUAGCGAACGCCCGUUUGUUCGUUUGUUUUAACGAACGAUUUUCACCAUUUAGCCGCAGACAGCGAACGUUCGUUCGUUAGCCUGUUCGUCAGUUUUUCGUUUCCAGGGUUUUUCCGCGAUUAUUUUCGAUCGCGAUUUCUGCCCUGUUUUUCGUUUUAGUUUAUCUUUUCGCUCAUUUAUCGGAAUCAGGCGAUUCAAGAGCCUAGAGUUUCGUCUCGAAGCCCUCUUUCUGUUUAACCAACUUAAACAAGUUUCUGCUACUGUACAAUUUGACUUAAGUCCAGAUUAAUAAACGGAGCUUGUUUCUUUCGUAGUUUGAGUUUUGUUGCUUCAAAUAGGUCCAAGGAAAUGUUCAUGUUUCUCUCUGAAAAUAUUGGCCAAAGGUAAAAUUCAAAUCAAUAUUUUUAGGAGCUCAUAAAUAUUUAUUUUGGACAUUUAAGUUAAUUCAAUAAUUAUUUGCAUUGGAGUUAUAUUUGUUAUAUAUUAAAUAUAACUCCAAUAACUCUGAAAGUUUGUAAGGUUUUGAACACUUUUUAAAAAGGCCACAUAAUAAUUCCCAGAAGUUUAUGAAAUGAUCUGGUAUUUAAAUAAAAUCAAAACCCAUUGCAGAAAAUAGAAACCAUAAAUAAAUAGAAAAACUAGAGAGAGAGAGAGAGAGAAGGACUUACCUGGAGCCCCACCGCAACGCAGCAGAGGCCCAGCCCACUGGCCUCUGCCAGUCACCAUGAACCUCCCGCCAGGAGAACCAGGGCGUGUGCCCGCCGCGCCCUAGCACACACCGGCCACCUCCUGCUUGCUUGCCGCCUCCCGAACAUCGCUAUGGACGCCACACAACCCCUGGAACCCCCUUGUCCUUCCCCUGGCUCUCUCCCUCGCCCUCUCCCGCCAUGGCCGAAGCCGACGUUCGCUCGCCGCCGUCGAACCGACGACCGUGCUCCCCUCGCCUCCCCGUGUUGCCACGAUAUCCGCCGUCGUCUGUCACUUCUCCUCGACCCAGCCUCGAGCGCUCGUUCGCCCUGCGUCGUUGCCCCGUCGACCUCUUCCCCGCUCGUCCACCAAGAUCGCAGACGACCUCACGACUUCUCCAGCCCGUCCCCGAGCUCGCCGUUCGCUCCCAUACACCCGCCGUGAGCUCCUGCACCUUUCCCCCUCUCUUGCACGCUCGUUUAAGCACCGUAGCCGUCGUAGCGACGAUGACCGAAUCACGCUGCCGCCUGAGCUCCUCGCCGCCGUGGCCACGUUCACCAUAGCCUCCAACUGUCACAUCCCUAGUUCUGGUAUGACCUAGACUAGCUAGUCAUGUGUGCAUCAUGUUUAAAUUCCAUUUAAAUUUGAAGUGGGGAUUUGGGAAACCCGCAGAAUCAUUUCUGGAAAUGACCCAGAUAAAAAUUGCUCCAAAAGGGUCCAAGAAAAUGUUCAUGUUGCACUCUGAAAAUAUUGGACAGAGAUAAAAAUCAAACCAAUAUUUUUAGGAGCUCAUAAAUAUUUAUUUUGGGCAUUUGGAAUUAAUGCUGUAAUUAUUUUCUUUGGAUAUAUAUUGUUAUAUAUAUAUAAUAUUGUCCAAAAAUUAUGCCAUUUGUUGAGGAGCUCUGGAAUAAUACCACUAGCCCCUACAAAAAUUGGCAUAAGAAAAUAAAAUGGUUUAUUAUUUUUAUUAAACCAAACAAAUGUCAGAAAAAUAGAAAAGAAACAGAAAUGGAAAAAAACCUACCUGUGCUUACCUACGGCCCAGCUGGACCAGCCCGCCAGCGCCGUCGUCCUCCUGGCGCCAGUCGGCCAAGCGUGUGGCCGGCGCGCGCGCACGGCCGUGCCGCCACGCCACCUGCCUGCCUGUCCUCCCCCUCGUCGCCUGGAUGCCCUGCGCGACGCCACGCGCCGCCCCGCACCUCUCUUACUCUCUCCCGUGCCCAUUUCCUCUUCCCUCGCUCUCUCUCGCGCACGGCCAAACGCCACCGUCGCCGCCACUCGCCGCUGCCGCAGCCACCGCCUCCCCCUCGACCUCUCUCCGCGCCCGAGAGCUCCGCCACGACGUCUUCUACGUCCUCGACGAGCCAGGCAACUGGGGACGCAACGUAUCACCGCCUCCGCCGUCAUCUUCAACUCCGGCCGCCGUGGAUCUCCACCGCCCGUCCGUCGCCUGCAGAGCCUCCCCCGAGCCGCCGUUUCCUCUGCUGGACUCCUCGUGAGCUCCCACCUCGAAUCGUCCUCUCCCCUUUGUCUUUUGCAAGCUGCAGCCACGAUCCCGCCCGAGGCCGAACUCCGGCCGCCGCCGCGAGCUCCGCUCCGGCGAGCUCCGCCGCCCCCGCAGCCUCUCGCUGGCUCCCCUGGAUGCGCGGGAGCACGUGCAACCUCCUGGUGCCCCCAGCCGCCGCUUCCGUGGCUUCCAGCGGGGACUCCGCCGUGGCCAGUGGUCGCCGGCGACGAGCCCCGUCGCCUGAGCCCUGCCACGUGGGUCCGGCCUGGCAGGUGAUUAGCUUAGCGCUAAUCACCGCCUGAUUAAUCCCCCUGACACUGACAUGUGGGCCCAGUGCGCCCUAAUCUUUUAAUUAGAUUAGUAAACCCCCUAUUUAACACUGUGUCACUGACGUGUGGAUCCCACACGUCAGGUUUGACCCAGUCAGCGCUGUUGACUUGCUGACGCAAGCAUGACGCAAUGCUGAUGCAGUUAUUUAUUUUCUGGAUUUAAAUUAAAUCAGGAAAUUCCAGAAAAUAGCCAAAACUUCUAAAAUUCAUAGAAAUUCAACCGUAACUCAGAUUGAAAUAAGUUAUAUAUGAAACAUUAUCAAAAAAUUCAAUAUAUCCAUCUGUACCAUUUUCAUGCAUGAAAAACCAACCUAUACAUGCUGUAUAUAUGAAAACACACUUAUGGCAUUUAAAGGGACUUAACUUAGAAUUGCAUUUGAACCUUUGGUUCAAAUGGACCUCUUCCAAGUUAAAUGCUAGUUGCAUUAACUCAAAUAGCAUCACAUCUACAUGCCAUGAUCAUGCAUCAUAUUGUUGCAUAUGCUUUUUUAUUGAUUGUCGACACCGUUCCUUCUCGAUAGGUCCUGCUCCGAAGAGUGCUCGAGAGUACCUGUCUGAGGAGCAGUGGAACCCUAUUGAUCUACCAGGCAAUCAAACCCCCCUUGUUCAUUCUGAUACAAUCCUACUCUCGCUCCUGCUCUCUUUUAUUGCAUUAGGACAACAAUGAUUCAACUGCUACUUUAUGCUGUGGUAGUUGAACCCAUUCCUCUGCAUGACCUGUCAUUGCCACAGUAAAUAGUUGAAACCCACUAGCAUGUGUAGGAGUUGAUUGAGCCAUGUUGUGUUCCUACCAUGCCAUGCCUGCUAUUGCUUAGAGUUGUGUCAGGUCUGAUUCAUUGGGAAUGAAUUGGAGUGUUACGAUAUGUUCUGGUGCUGAGAGUUAAGUGUAUGAACACGAUUUGGUAAAGGUAGCGGUGAGAGGCCAUGUAGGAGUACAUGGUGGGUUGUCUCACUGGAACCGUCCUUAAGCACUGAGUUCUGUGUAUGUUGUCCAAUGACUAGCUACUACCACACAUUGGGUUCCGGUAACUCGACCCCUCUCGCCUUAUUAACCAACUUGAUCUCUGUCCAGGAGUUGCAAUUAGUUUUUGGUGUUUGUAGGUAGUGUUAGUAGUCUACCAAGUGGCACCCGGCCAGGUGGGCUUGGGACAGACUAGGCACAAGUGGCACAGUGUACCAAGCGUAGAUCCAUCCGGCGAGGUGGGCUUGGGAACCCUGCACACAUCGUUUGGGGCCGUGAGCGACACCCCGGCCGGAUCUCCUUGCGGAUGGAACCCGAAUAGGCGAUAAACCUGGACUAGAGUCUUGUGUGGUUAGUCAGGUCGUGGCCGACACCCUCGCCAGGCUUCCGCUUGAAGGUUGCCGAGAUACAUGACGUGUACAUGGCGGUAAGUGGCAAGAGCGUGUGUGAGCAGUACACCCCUGCAGGGUUAUCAUGAUCUAUUCGAAUAGCCGUGUACUCGGUUAUGGACUUCUUGGAUGCUUACGUGGUACAUAGACAACUUGAAGUGGAUACUCUAAAAUGCUCAAGAUAAGUGUGAGUGCUAUGGAUGGCUUCUCGUAGUGAGACGGGAAUGAAUCCAUAGUGGUGUAUUGAGGUGGUGAUUAGUGGACUCGUGUGCCCUUUCUUACCUCAAAGAAGUUACUCGUAGUCGUAGAAUAGGUUAGCCACUGAGUCAAAGCUGGCUUGCUGCAACUGAACCCCACAUUGCCUCCUUGAUACUAGUGCAUGUAUGAUAGGAUCUGAUGUAAGUCUUGCUGAGUACCUUUGUACUCAUGUUGCUUUAUUUAUGUUUUUGCAGUGGAGACUUCAGUCUUACUAGUAGUUCCGCUUGGACAUCGACGAGUAGCUUGUACCUCAGCUACGAUCUUGUACCCUUGGGAGGGGCUUGUAGAUAGUCAGGCUUCUCAGCCUUUUCUUUUGUAGUUGUCUGUACUCAGACAUGUAAUGCUUCCGUUGCUUGUAUGCUCUGAAUGAUGGGUCAUGUGACCCCUGUUUGUACUUAAUGCUAUGUGGCUCUUCUGGGCCUUUUAUCUAUAUGAGUUUGCGUUAUGUUGUGAUGCCAUGUUGUACAGCACAUACUUGCAUGUUAUGCGUACGUGUAACGUGUAUUGCUAUGUGUGGGAUCCGACAACCUAGUUGUCUAUCCUUGGUAGCCUCUCUUAUGGGGAAAUGUAGUCUAGUGCUUCCACCGAGCCAUCGUAGUCCGCUACAGCCCGGUUUACCGGAGUCCUGCUAGCCCAGCACUACUGCUCCGGAACACUUAGACUGGCCGGUAUGUGAUUCACUUCGUUCCUGUCUGUCCCUUUGGGGAAAUGUCACGCGGUGACAUCUGGAGUCCUGCCUAGCCUGCUACAGCCCGGGUUCCCGGAGUCCUGUUAGCCCAGUUGCUACAGCCCGGAUUCACACGCUGCUGACCGACAUGCUCGAUGUUGUUUCAUGUAUGCCUGUUCCCGUAAGUUAGUGCCACUUUGGGUUCACGACUAGUCAUGUCAGCCCGGGUUCUUUGUCAUAUGGAUGCUAGCGACACUAUCAUAUACGUGAGCCAAAAGGCGCAAACGGUCCCGGGCCAUGGUAAGGCGACACCCGUGGGAAUACCGUGCGUGAGGCCGCAAAGUGAUAUGAGGUGUUACAUGCUAGAUCGGUGUGACUUAGAAUCGGGGUCCCGACAACAACCGAGUUCACCCACGUGCUCGUCGUGCUGCGUAGGUGUCGUGGGAGCUAAGCACGCAAUGCCACGGCCGCCGUCGUUUGGGUCCGCCCCGGCAUGAGCUAAAGGCUCCACUGGAUGCGCGCGAUCCCCAGCUACACAUAGGACCAAACCGCAGUCGAUUUGGUCGACUGUGGGCAAGUCCCGAGCCCUUCCGCCGUCUCUGGCCUUGCCGGCACGAGCCGCGAGUCAACUCCGGCGAGUUUGACCUAGGUUGGCCCUGUUUGACUUCCCCAUGGGUCAAUGACAUGCGGGCCCAGCCCGGCUAAUUAACCUAGUUUAGUUUUGAACCUAAUUAGUUUAAUCUAGGAUUAGUGCUAAUUAAACCAGGAUAGUUUCGUUGGUAACUAACACGCAGGACCCACUGGUCAGUUUGAGCUGGGCUGCUCCGUUGACUGCUGACGUUAGCGUGAUGUCAUGCUAACGCAAUAAAUCAUUUACUGGAUUUUGUUUAAUUCUAAAUAAGCAGAAAAAUCUAGAAAAUGAUUUGAACUUAAAAAAAUCAUAGAAAAUAAUCUAUAGCUCAGAAUGAAAUAAGUUAUAUAUGAAAAAUUAUCAGAAAAAUCCAAAGAAUCUGGUUAUGGCAUUUGCAAGCAUGUUUGAGCAACCUAAAGAUACUGUAUAUGACAAUUUGAAUUAAUGGCAUUUGAAAUGCCUUAUGUGGAGUUUGAAUUUGAAUCUAGUGUUCAAACCAACUCCAUUUAAGUCGUUGCUAGCCGCAUUAGCUCAACUCACAGCAUAUUGCCAUGUCAUGAUCAUGCAUCAUAUUGUUGCAUUGCAUUGAUUGUGUUCUUUCUCUGUUUGCCGGUAUUUGUCCCCUCUCAAUAGAUGUGUUCUAUCCUUGGUAGCCUCUCUUAUGGGGAAAUGUAGUCUAGUGCUUCCACCGAGCCAUGGUAGUCCGCUACAGCCCGGUUUACCGGAGUCCUGCUAGCCCAGCACUACUGCUCCGGAACACUUAGACUGGCCGGCAUGUGAUUCACUUCGUUCCUGUGUCUGUCCCUUCGGGGAAAUGUCACGCGGUGACAUUCGGAGUCCUGCCUAGCCUGCUACAGCCCGGGUUCCCGGAGUCCUGUUAGCCCAGUUGCUACAGCCCGGAUUCACACGCUGCUGACCGACAUGCUCGACGUUGUUUCAUGUAUGCCUGUUCCCGUAAGUUAGUGCCACUUUGGGUUCACGACUAGUCAUGUUGGCCCGGGUUCUUUGUCAUAUGGAUGCUAGCGACACUAUCAUAUACGUGAGCCAAAAGGCGCAAACGGUCCCGGGCCAUGGUAAGGCGACACCCAUGGGAAUACCGUGCGUGAGGCCGCAAAGUGAUAUGAGGUGUUACAUGCUAAAUCGGUGUGACUUAGAAUCGGGGUCCCGACAGCUUUGGUAUCAGAGCCUGACUGCCUGUAGGAUUUCCAAGCCAAACUGGUCGAAGUUGAGUCUAGAAAUUCUUUAGUUAUGUAAGGGAAUUGAUUGUGGAAGGGAACGUAAGGCUCUUUUUACUCCUUUUACCUCAUGCCUUCUGAUCUGAGUCAUCCUAUCUUUCCUACGGGGUUAAGGAACUAGGCUUUCUCUUCCGUCUAUCAGGAUCACAUGUUACUACUCCGUAGUCUCUUAGGAUUGGUUGAUCAGAGUCAUAUCCCAGUUCGAGUACCUCCGGUGUAGCCUGUUCAGUAAUAUCUCAGAACCUUGAGUGACGAUGUUGAGUAUGGUGCUACCCCGCCUUUUGCAGAAUGUCUCAUUUUGAGCAUUUUACUACCGUUAUGCUGCCGGAUUUGUCCUAGGAGCUUGAGAGAUACUAAAUUUCCUUAUGCUACAUGUUGCAUCCUAUAGUUGUUGUUGACCUCGUCCUUGGUUCCGCUUCUCAGGAUGUCAUCAGUUAACCGAAGUUCUGUUGCUCGUUGCCUGAACCACGGAGGUGGUAGGGAUGAGGAGGAUCCACCCGACCAGCCUUCGUUGGCAGAGUUUAUGUUAGAGAUGGAGAGGAACAAGCAUGAGUCUAACCGCUUGUUAGCACGUAUCGAGGAGAACACCGCACCUCAGUGCAAAGAGUCAGCGACCAUCUAUGAUUUCAUUUGUUUGAAACCACCUACCUUCCAUCAUUCCAUUGAACCACUCGAUGCAGAUGACUGGCUCCGUAGUAUCACACACAAGCUGCGUUCUGCGAACAUAGCUGAAGGUGACAAGGUCACUUAUGUUGCAUAUCACCUGGAAGGUCCUGCUAGUCUUUGGUGGCAGAACUAUGAGGCUAUGCUUCCAGCUGGCCAGAUACCGACCUAGAGGGAUUUCGCUGAGGCUUUUCGCGAGCAUCACAUUCCUCAGGCUCUCAUUGACCGCAAGAGAGAAGAGUUCUGUAGUUUUACCCAGGGUAAGAUGGCUGUUGAUGCUUACAGUAGAGAGUUUGAGAACCUCGCCCGCUAUUCUACAGAAGAAGUGUCCACGGACGCUAAGAAGCAGGCUAGGUUCCGGAAGGGUCUCAACCCCAAGUUGCGUCGAGACCUCCACCUGCACCAUUGCAAUACAUUCCAGGCUCUUGUGAACAAGGCCAUUAAUGCGGAGACAGCUCAUCUCACCUACGAGGAGUCUCGUAAGCACACUCGUGAAUUGGGUUCUUCCUCCGGUUCUAGUUCUCAGAAGCGCCGGAUUUGGAUUUCGAACUCUGCUCUUCCACCCGGUUAUACACCGAGGCCAUCUUAUGUGGCGCCUCACCCAGUUCAGCCGUAUGCUCCACCCAGGCCUAUUGGUGGACCGCCUGCCAACACGGGUCCACAUCCUACCUCCAAGAUUUGUUACAAGUGCGGAGAGCCAGGACACACCGCCCGUAUUUGCACUCAGGCCCGUGUUGCUCCACCCCAGCCCGAGAAGUCUGUUGGCCGUGGUAAGCCAUCAUGCAAGAUGAUCAGUACCAAGUCAGCUCCCACUGAAUGUGGACGUGUGCAUCACGUCUCAGCUAAAGACGCUCGGGAUGAUCCAGAUGUCGUUCUUGGUACACUCCUUGUAAACUGUCAUCCAGCUUCGGUUCUAUUUGAUACUGGCACUACAACAAGACCCCCACUAUAGCAACGCCUUUUUCCGUAUCUAAAUGUCCAUAUAUGCGUUGCUAGGUUCUUUACCAACGGUUUGGGAUGCGUAGCCUUAUCCAGUGUUGCUAGCGCAUAUGCAACGCUUAUACUAUCGUUGGUAAAGGGGUCCGUUGCAAGAGAACAACAGAUAAAACGGACUUUACAACAAUUUUAUAUGUUGGUGCUUGAUGUACAUGAAUCAAAAUCCCAUUGCUUGGCAACGGAGAAUUUCCAACGUUUCAAGUGUUGGUACAUAUAUAGUGUCAAUAAUAAUAUUAUAUGUAUAUAUAAUUAUAUAUUGCUAGCAAUUAAAUUAAUGCUCCAUGUAAAGGCGAUAAUUAUGUAUUUCAAGUGAACGAAAAACAACACGAUAUACUCACGAGAGGAAGAAAUCAUAUAUUAGAUCAAAACUGUUGGAUUACAAUAGUGGAUAUUACAGGAGGAACAUCAUCCAAAUGUGAUGCAUAAUCUAACAAUUUUCUUGACAGUGAAACUUAAACUGAAAAUAUCCAUCUUAACUAAGGAACAACAUCCGACAGGAACGUCAUCCCUACAACAUAACUAAAACUAAAUGCAUCCGUCAUCAUCAUCAUGAAACGGAUCAUCGACAUCAUCAUUGCAGUAUAAUCCCCACGCUCCCAUAUACUCAUCCAUUUAUCUUUUGAAUCUACAAACAAGAAAACAAAACUGAACUGUUAACACACAAUACCUUGACAUGAUGCAAGUAGUAAUAUAGGCAAAUAUUAGUCACGUACAAAGGUUGAAGGCCAUGCAAGCUUUUAUUUUUAUGCAUUACCGAGAGUAUUGCAGUUUUGCGACUUCAUACCAAAUAUUAAGUUUGCACUAGUGCCAUAUCGACAUGCACUACCCAGAAUUCACUUCUAAUUUCAGGACCAUCAAGUUUAAAUUUAGGAUCAGAACUUACCAUUGUAUCUAGAGCUACGCCCUUGUUAUGAUUUUUCGGGCUCUUCAAGAAUACUUUAGUUCCUGCCUGUUAGAAAAAAUAAAAGUUGCCAUAUGAGAAGACAGAAACAAAACAGGGGAACAUAUGAAAUGAAUUUGAGCACAACAGAUAGUUCAUUGGCAUCCAUCCAACUCUGGGAACCACUUCGAGCACUCUUACAGCAUGCAUUAGCACCUUAUGUUGUUUUUGUAGUCUGGACAACAGACUGAUAGCAAAGAAGUAAUAAACAACUAAAGAAGCCACAAAUAGUCUAAACAAAAUUUGUAUGUGAUUAUGAAAGGAUACCGCUUGUUUGCAACAGAAGUUUUUUCUCCCUGACAUGCACUAACAUUCUUAUUUUUAACAGCAUUUAGCAAGACGACUAGUAGAUACAUAACCAUUGGAGCAACAUAUUUUGAACAUAUUGUAUAUGGGAAUGGAUAUAUACCUUAUCUGCAGCAGAAUCUAUUUCCCUUCGCCCGUGCACUGAAAUUCUUGUCCAUUACAUAUCUGCUGCAACAUGACAAUGACCAAAAGUUUAAAUAAAUUAUGUAAAAGACAAUAUUCUGUGGUCCUACUCGACCUUAUGACAGUCAUCCCCACAGAUGUGAAGAUGAUUAAUUCAGAUUUCAGCUCAAACAAUCAUAUUUUGAAGUAAUUUCUACCCCUACAAUCAAUAAAAAUAAGUCUUACCACAUUUGUUCCUUAUCAAAUCAAAAUAGCAACUCAUUUAGUACUGAGUAGGUACUGGGAAUAAAUCAAGCUAUUCCUAUUUCAUAGUGAAAACGAUGAACUAAGACAUGAAACCGUUACUCUAAAAUGUAAAUUUGCAAGGGGUCCAUUAUUUUGUUCAUCAGGUGUAUAAGAAAAAGAGCAAGUAACAAAAUGAAACUCCAUAUAGCAGCUCUUUCAAUGACCCCAUGCUUUUUAGUUUUUUUUUCUAUGCUGGGAACAUUACUAUGAAUAAAAUGCAGUUAUCUUUCGAUACUAGUAAUUUAACUGUUGAUCUAUUUCAGUUGCUUAGGGAAGAUGAACUUGUACUUGUGUGGUAUGAUGUUUAACUUGGUUUUUGCAGGGGGGAACACAUGUUCAGGUUUAACACUAUCCACGGAUAGUAAGAGGAUCAUAAGCUCAAGGACACCCAAGUUCAUUCUCUUUGGUGUUAAGGAGGUUUCCUUCAUGCACAAGCAUUAUAGCUAGGCUGAUGAGAUUUUCAAGUUGGAACUGUGAGGAGAUCCCAUGGGCCAAGGCUGAGUGUGUUGCAGAGUAUACAUGUGUUUUCACUAUCGUGCACAUGGUUGUUCACUAACAUUUAUUUUGAGAACAAGUGUGUUGUUUUGUAGACUGGACUUGUAGUUGUGCUGCUGCAGAUCAUGUUCUGAUAUUCAUAAUAAAAUUAACAUUUUUCAUUUUAUUAGGGCCUCACUAGUCAACAUGAUACUUACUGCAAUUUGUCCAUAGGUACGACCAAGAUAACACUUGUUCUAGUCACUCCAUCGUCCAUUUUCUACAAAUGACACCCCAGCCAGAAUACAAUAUGAUAGCAAUAAGAAAAUAACAAGGUCACAAAUGUCUGCACACACACGAAGAAAGAAAGAAAGAAACUAUGCUAAGAACUAACCCAACUGUACUACCCAACUAGAAUAGGAUAGUCAGAAUUGGAGGUCCAUAAAGAAAGUCUAUGAAGAGAUUGAACUCACCAAGGUAGUAAUGGUGCAGAACUACAUUGAAAUAUUGCACGCGUCCACACCUGAAACCUUAAUAGUUACUAGAUUUAAGCCACCUCUUAUGUUCAGUAAACCUAGGAACACCAAAACAAGGAGGCGUCAGGGCACUAUAAUGAAUAAAACCUAAAAAGCUAAUCUCAAUCAAGUAGGGAACGUGUAAGCUUAUAGAAGAAGAAUCUGAAACAACCCCCUCUAUCUCAAGGCCCCCAAAAUUGUGAACCAAUAACAGAGGACAGCUAUCAAACACUUGGUGUGCACUAGCAAAUUCACACAAGAGAAGAGUACUUAGAAAACAUAUAAGGGACAGAUCUGAACCAAGGGGGGAGGAGGCAAAAUCGUCAAGUCGUACUAGUAUUUACCUUGUGUUUCUAUGAAUCGGGGGUGGGGACUGAUCUGCUUUCCAUCCCAGUUGCUGAACAAGACAUGCCUCUUGUGCCCUCAACCUCAAAUCCUCAAUGAAUCGGCGGCGGCGGGGUCAGCUACGAGGUUCAGGAGGGAGGGCAGGCCAUGAUCGAUCUCCUCAAGAUAGAGAUCCUACGAGACGAGGAAGGGAACUGUGUUGAUAAGAUAUGGGGGAGGGGGAGGGGGAGGUUUCCGAUUUGACCUCCUCGCGAUGCCAGAUUUUGGUCUGCGUUCUUGAUUCGUAUGGCG
This 19548-nucleotide long non-coding RNA is filed under the name Triticum aestivum (bread wheat). RNAcentral's name for it is "long non-coding RNA (TAES_LNC000679)". The record is from RNAcentral. Lineage: Eukaryota; Viridiplantae; Streptophyta; Magnoliopsida; Poales; Poaceae.